AUCGUUCGACAUCAUCAAAAUUGUAACGACUCUCGGCAACGGAUAUCUCGGCUCUCGCAUCGAUGAAGAACGUAGCGAAAUGCGAUACUUGGUGUGAAUUGCAGAAUCCCGUGAACCAUCGAGUCUUUGAACGCAAGUUGCGCCCGAAGCCGUCAGGUUGA
Molecule: ribosomal RNA, 161 nt
Filed under: Pouzolzia mixta
Lineage: Eukaryota; Viridiplantae; Streptophyta; Magnoliopsida; Rosales; Urticaceae
Description: 5.8S ribosomal RNA
Rfam family: 5.8S ribosomal RNA (bases 28-161)
About the family: 5.8S ribosomal RNA (5.8S rRNA) is a component of the large subunit of the eukaryotic ribosome.
Source: RNAcentral